GAAAGAUUAAAAGGACUUUAAAAAUAGAGUCAAAGAGUGCUUGAAAUUAUUGGGAGGGAAGCAGAUGGAAGCUGACGAUGCACCCUGGUCAGAUUUGGAAUGGUGACGAGCUGGUUCGUCGAUCGACUCGGGGCGUGGACCAGCGUGGAUUAGGGGGGCGGUCAAAGCCCGGGCUCUUGAUAUGCCCGUGGAAUGAUGUCUCAUUGAUUUUGGUACGAAGAGUGCGCUUCUGACGUGCUUCAACAUCUGUGUGCUCCGGACACUGGCUAUGGGCUCCCCAUUCGACCCGUCUUGAAACACGG
Molecule: ribosomal RNA, 302 nt
Filed under: Solanum tuberosum (potato)
Lineage: Eukaryota; Viridiplantae; Streptophyta; Magnoliopsida; Solanales; Solanaceae
Description: rRNA LSU_rRNA_eukarya
Rfam family: Eukaryotic large subunit ribosomal RNA
Source: RNAcentral